AUGGCUCAGGAUGAACGCUAGCUACAGGCUUAACACAUGCAAGUCGAGGGGAAACGAUAGAGAAAGCUUGCUUUUUUCUAGGCGUCGACCGGCGCACGGGUGAGUAACGCGUAUCCAACCUGCCCACCACUUGGGGAUAACCUUGCGAAAGUAAGACUAAUACCCAAUGACGUCUCUAGAAGACAUCUGAAAGAGAUUAAAGAUUUAUCGGUGAUGGAUGGGGAUGCGUCUGAUUAGCUUGUUGGCGGGGUAACGGCCCACCAAGGCGACGAUCAGUAGGGGUUCUGAGAGGAAGGUCCCCCACAUUGGAACUGAGACACGGUCCAAACUCCUACGGGAGGCAGCAGUGAGGAAUAUUGGUCAAUGGACGAGAGUCUGAACCAGCCAAGUAGCGUGCAGGAUGACGGCCCUAUGGGUUGUAAACUGCUUUUAUAAGGGAAUAAAGUGAGUCUCGUGAGACUUUUUGCAUGUACCUUAUGAAUAAGGACCGGCUAAUUCCGUG
This 502-nucleotide ribosomal RNA is filed under the name uncultured bacterium. Its description in RNAcentral is "bacterial SSU rRNA". It matches the Rfam family "Bacterial small subunit ribosomal RNA", at positions 19 to 507 of the family's 1533-position model. The record is from RNAcentral.